AUUGAACGCUGGCGGCAGGCCUAACACAUGCAAGUCGAACGGUAACAGGAAGCAGCUUGCUGCUUUGCUGACGAGUGGCGGACGGGUGAGUAAUGUCUGGGAAACUGCCCGAUGGAGGGGGAUAACUACUGGAAACGGUAGCUAAUACCGCAUAACGUCGCAAGACCAAAGAGGGGGACCUUAGGGCCUCUUGCCAUCGGAUGUGCCCAGAUGGGAUUGGCUAGUAGGUGGGGUAACGGCUCACCUAGGCGACGAUCCCUAGCUGGUCUGAGAGGGUGACCAGCCACACUGGAACUGAGACACGGUCCAGACUCCUACGGGAGGCAGCAGUGGGGAAUAUUGCACAAUGGGCGCAAGCCUGAUGCAGCCAUGCCGCGUGUAUGAAGAAGGCCUUCGGGUUGUAAAGUACUUUCAGCGGGGAGAAAGGGAGUAAAGUUAAUACCUUUGCUCAUUGACGUUACCCGCAGAAGAAGCACCGGCUAACUCCGUG
RNAcentral lists this ribosomal RNA (490 nucleotides) under uncultured bacterium. RNAcentral's name for it is "partial 16S ribosomal RNA". It matches the Rfam family "Bacterial small subunit ribosomal RNA", at positions 30 to 507 of the family's 1533-position model. The record is from RNAcentral.